Molecule: long non-coding RNA, 951 nt
Organism: Oncorhynchus keta (chum salmon)
Lineage: Eukaryota; Metazoa; Chordata; Actinopteri; Salmoniformes; Salmonidae
Exons: 3
Source: RefSeq, a predicted model, not a curated record
CCUGUUGGUCUAAAAUUAGGUUAUGGAGCAGUCGAAAAAAAAGAAGGUUCCCAGACCAAAUAAAAAUGUUGGGUUCUCAGGAGUUAAACGCAUGCCGAGAUCAUUGGCACGGCUGUGGCGGCUGAGAGCCAGUUGCUAUGUGGUAUGUGAAGCCGUAAAACAUGCAGUGCUGAGUGGCAGCACAGAUCACGAGCAUUCUCCUGUUUCAUAGGCUGCUCGAGCCAUGCCACAGCCACACCAUGCCAGGCCAGGCUACAUGACAGUCCUCUACGACAUACAGUCACACCACCACCAUGACUAGGAUACCGUGACCAUUCAUACCUGACGGCGGCUGGGUCAGACACGGGCAUUGUGGAUCUGGAACAGAGGGUGUCUGUUUCGUUUACAGCCCCUCUGCCAGCAGCUUGUGACGUCCUUGAGAACAAACUGUCAGCGGUGAACAAGUUUUCCAUAAGGGGGAAAAUGUCGCCGGUCAUUAUGACACAUAACCGCUCACUCAAAAGAUUUAAAAGGAUUGCCAGAUGGAGCUAUACAUGCGCAUACUCAACCAUUUACACAUCAUCGCACGGGUGAAUGUUCAAUUGACUUUGAAUGAGCAGAGCAAAAACCCAUUACACAAGGCCCAGAGAUCUCCUGUGCUUGCAGCGACAUAUACUUAUCCUCUCAACUUUGGUGUAAAAGGUCAACAUUUGCCGACACACACUCCCUAACCUCCCAGCUCCCUCCACUGACGUGAUGGCGACAGGGGACGAUGAGGGGAUCUUUGUUGAGGCAGGAUUUCUUUACGCCUUGAAGCCUCUGGACAGAGAGAAGCAGAGCCAUCUUACUCCCUGCAGGUGUCCUUCUCAGCAGGAGUCAACUAACCUGGAGUCGAAUCAAUAAAACAACAUUGGAGAUUUUGGUAAGAACUGCCCUGCCCCAUAAAAACACUGCAUUGCCUGAUGUGAACCA